This 118-nucleotide ribosomal RNA is filed under the name uncultured bacterium. Its description in RNAcentral is "partial 16S ribosomal RNA". It matches the Rfam family "Bacterial small subunit ribosomal RNA", at positions 1367 to 1482 of the family's 1533-position model. The record is from RNAcentral.
UACGUUCCCGGGUCUUGUACACACCGCCCGUCACACCACGAAAGCUGGUAAUACCCGAAGCCGGUGGCCUAACCCGUAAGGGAGGGAGCCGUCGAAGGUAGGAUCGGUGAUUGGGGUG